Molecule: long non-coding RNA, 1838 nt
Organism: Eriocheir sinensis (Chinese mitten crab)
Lineage: Eukaryota; Metazoa; Arthropoda; Malacostraca; Decapoda; Varunidae
Exons: 3
Source: RefSeq, a predicted model, not a curated record
GAGAAGUCACAGCAUGAAGGCUUCCAGGAGCUGCAAGACAUCCUUGUGGUCAGGGCGCCUGCUGGUCAUUAUGAUGGAGCGUCGGCAGAGAUCGAGCUGGCGGAAGGCUGGCGGCCGGGUCAAGCUCACCACUGACAUGCGCUCGGCCAAUGUUGUUGACCUCGGCUAUGACAAUCUUACUAAGGUGGUGGUGGAGGUGGGGAACGGCAUCUACAUUGACGACGGACUCAAGGAGAUCGCUGAGACUACUACUAUUACUAUUGCUAUCCUCUAUACUGCUAUGUGUACUAUUAAAUCCUCUUUACUGCUACUAUGUGUACUAUUUAAUCCCUUAUAUAGUACUUCCAUGACAGCUGAUACUACUUCUACUACUUCUACUACUACUAUGACCACUCAAUCCCUGGUAAGUACAAUGUCAUUAUCAUUAUCAUUAAUUAGGUUAAGGUCCAUUUAAUUCAAUCUUUCUGAGCGGUUGGACACUUUAUGGCUCUCCUCCAUUCUACUCUGUCUUCCGCCCAAUGCUUAUACAGUUCUAUCAAUCCCAAGUCUUCCUGUACACACCUUCUCCAUGUUUUUCUAGGUCUACCAACUGGUCUCCUUCCUUCUACCUCCAUUCUACUCUGUCUUCUGCCCGAUGCUCAUCCAAUCCCAUCAGUGCCAAGUCUUCCUGUACACAACUUCUCCAUGUUUUUCUAGGUCUGCCAACUGGUAUCCUUCCUUCUACCUCCAGUCUCUCCAACACUCCCAGCACUGUGUCCUCCCCUGCCCUCUUUACAUGUCCAAACCAUCAGAGUCUUUCCCUUCUGAGCACUGUUUCCAGGUCCUCUACUAAAACUCCCAGCACUGUGUCCUCCCCUGCUCUCUUUACAUGUCCAAACCAUCGGAGUCUUUCCCUUCUGAGCACUGUUUCCAGGUCCUCUACUAAAACUCCCAGCACUGUGUCCUCCCCUGCUCUCUUUACAUGUCUCUGCCAAAUAUUUCCCUCUCCCUGCCUCUGUCCCUGCCAAAUCACUCUCUCCCUGCCUGUGUCCCUGCCAUAUCUCUCCCUCCCUGCCAAAUCUAGCCUCUCCUCCUUACCUAACCUACCUGACCCUACCCUAAGCUACCCUAACCUACCUCUCUCUCCACCAGGUUGACAAGCCCGUCCAUGGUGAAGAAGCCCUGUCCUACCUGCGCUGAGAGGACCCGUGUGGGCAACGCUACCAUGGACGGAGCAGUGGGGGAGGCGGUGGCUGAGUGGAUAGCAUGAUGGCGCCAUAUUCGGGACAAUGUGAGUUUAAUCCCUGCCCGGUGCCACCAAGCUGGGAUUUUUCAGCCGCCGCCAAGUGGCUUAAAACUACCCACAUGCGAGCAAAGUCUGGAAACUUAUCUUCGUUACUGGGGCUAUUUCCUUGCAAAUGGGGACUCUCCUGGGAGAGUACAUCACGGCAAAGUCAUUUCUGGUCUCGAAAUUGCAAUACAGCGCCUACCGGUCGAGAUAGCCUUGUCUAGUUCUGUCUCUCUCUUAUCUCUGUGUGUUAUGUAAAGGCUGGCCUCUAACAAUACAUGCAAAAACAUAUGUAACUGUACCUAAUGGGCUGUUAAGAAAUGUUUCAAAUGUUUUAAAUGUUUCAAAUGUUCUGUCUUUACCUCUCAGUUAAUUCAUUCUUCCUCAUAUAUAUAUCUUGAUUGCCCUCUCAUCUUUUUAAUUAAUCCUCGAUCGCUCUCUCUUAAUCAUCCCAGCCAGCUGUUCCUCAUAGGGCCCUCACACACCUGUACACAAUUUUCCGUACAUACCAAGAUCCAUUUCUAAUAGUCAGCCAACUCUAAUAUAAAUUCUCUCUCCCACGCUCUUUAUA